GAGUGAGCGGCAACAGCUCAAAUUUGAAAGCUAGCCUUCGGGUUCGCAUUGUAAUUUGUAGAGGAUGAUUUGGGGAAGCCGCCUGUCUAAGUUCCUUGGAACAGGACGUCAUAGAGGGUGAGAAUCCCGUAUGUGACAGGAAAUGGCACCCUAUGUAAAUCUCCUUCGACGAGUCGAGUUGUUUGGGAAUGCAGCUCUAAAUGGGAGGUAAAUUUCUUCUAAAGCUAAAUAUUGGCGAGAGACCGAUAGCGCACAAGUAGAGUGAUCGAAAGAUGAAAAGCACUUUGGAAAGAGAGUUAAAAAGCACGUGAAAUUGUUGAAAGGGAAGCGCUUGCAAUCAGACUUGUUUAAACUGUUCGGCCGGUCUUCUGACCGGUUUACUCAGUUUGGACAGGCCAGCAUCAGUUUCGGCGGCCGGAUAAAGGCUCUGGGAAUGUGGCCUCCACUUCGGUGGAGGUGUUAUAGCCCAGGGUGUAAUACGGCCAGCCGGGACUGAGGUCCGCGCUUCGGCUAGGAUGCUGGCGUAAUGGUUGUAAGCGACCCG
This 544-nucleotide ribosomal RNA is filed under the name Aureobasidium pullulans. RNAcentral describes it as "partial large subunit ribosomal RNA". It matches the Rfam family "Eukaryotic large subunit ribosomal RNA", at positions 91 to 651 of the family's 3401-position model. Lineage: Eukaryota; Fungi; Ascomycota; Dothideomycetes; Dothideales; Saccotheciaceae. The record is from RNAcentral.